GAUGAAGAACGCAGCGAAAUGCGAUACGUAAUGUGAAUUGCAGAAUUCAGUGAAUCAUCGAAUCUUUGAACGCAUAUUGCGCUCUUUGGUAUUCCGAAGAGCAUGCUUGUUUGAGUAUCAGUAAACACCUCAAAGUCUUUUUUUUUUCUUGAAGAAAAAGACCUUGGACUUGAGCAAUCCCAACUCUUCUUUCAGAAGAGGCGGGUUGCUUGAAAUGCAGGUGCAGCUGGACAUUCUCCUGAGCUAAAAGCAUAUUCAUUUAGUCCCAUCAAACGGAUUAUUACUUUUGCUGCAGCUAACAUAAAGGGAGUUUGACCAUUUUGGCUGACUGAUGCAGGAAUUUCACAAGAGUCUUCAAAACGCUCUUGUUAAACUCGAUCUCAAAUCAAGUAAGACUACCCGCUGAACUUAAGCAUAUCAAUAAGCGGAGGA
RNAcentral lists this unclassified non-coding RNA (432 nucleotides) under soil metagenome. RNAcentral's name for it is "partial contains 5.8S ribosomal RNA, internal transcribed spacer 2, and large subunit ribosomal RNA". The stretch from base 1 to 120 matches the Rfam family "5.8S ribosomal RNA", at positions 35 to 154 of the family's 154-position model. The record is from RNAcentral.